AUACAGAGGGUGCAAGCGUUAAUCGGAUUUACUGGGCGUAAAGCGCGCGUAGGCGGCUAAUUAAGUCAAAUGUGAAAUCCCCGAGCUUAACUUGGGAAUUGCAUUCGAUACUGGUUAGCUAGAGUGUGGGAGAGGAUGGUGGAAUUCCAGGUGUAGCGGAGAAAUGCGUCGAGGUCUGGAGGAAUACCGAUGGCGAAGGCAGCCAUCUGGCCUAACACUGACGCUGAGGUGCGAAAGCAUGGGGAGCAAACAGGAGUAGAUACCCGAGUAGUCC
Molecule: ribosomal RNA, 274 nt
Filed under: uncultured bacterium
Lineage: Bacteria
Description: partial 16S ribosomal RNA
Rfam family: Bacterial small subunit ribosomal RNA
Source: RNAcentral